Molecule: long non-coding RNA, 306 nt
Filed under: Oryza sativa Indica Group (long-grained rice)
Lineage: Eukaryota; Viridiplantae; Streptophyta; Magnoliopsida; Poales; Poaceae
Description: lncRNA OsLiXu_09g0002230
Source: RNAcentral
CCAGUGCGGCGGUUGGAGCUGCCGCCGUCGCUCCGCCCUCCUCCUCUCCCGCCUCGCCCCGGCGACUUCCUCCCGCGUGGUCGCGUGGUCGUCGGCGAGACGGAGGUGCCGGAGAUCGUCAAGGCAGCCCAGGACGCGUGGGCCAAAGUUGAGGACAAGUACGCCGUCACCGCCAUCGACGUCGCCGCGCUCGUCGGCCUCUGGACGGCCAUGGGCGCCAUCAAGGUAUACGACGCGACACAUAUGCUUCCAUAUAUAUAUAUAUAUAUGAUCUCUUACUCCUUCAAGUUCAGAUACGAUGCUUAA